UUGAACGGACAUUACAUUGAUCGAGUAGACCGUGACGUAACUGUAAAUUUUGAUGUAUAAUAUAGAUUUAAAUAUUUGCUAAAAAUGUGGUAUAAUGCUAUGAUACCCUUAGGUAUAAUAGGAGUACUCACAACAGCACCUGCUUACGUUGUACCAUAUAUAUUUAAGUAUUUUACCGGAAACCCAAAUGGAAGAUUGUACGAUAACAAUUUAUUUGAGCAAAUGGGAUAUGUUAGAGACUACGAAUUUGGUGGUAAAAAAGUUUGGAAGUUUAAUGGUUUGGAAGUCAUUCCUGACAAAUAGAGUCAUAUAUAUGCCAGUACUGCAUUAGUCUAUCUUUAGUGGCUUUUACCUUGGUAAAUGUAUUAUGUAAAUAUAACAUCAUAAUAUAUAUA
Molecule: long non-coding RNA, 395 nt
Organism: Bombus pascuorum
Lineage: Eukaryota; Metazoa; Arthropoda; Insecta; Hymenoptera; Apidae
Exons: 3
Source: RefSeq, a predicted model, not a curated record